GAUAAACGCUGGCGGCGCACAUAAGACAUGCAAGUUGAACGGACUUAAUCGAAAUAUUUAUCUUUUGAAGCGGUUAGUGGCGGACUGGUGAGUAACGCGUAAGGAACCUGCCUAUUAGAGGGGAAUAACAGUGAGAAAUCAUUGCUAAUACCGCAUAUGCCAUAGAUAUCACAUGAUAACAGUGGGAAAGGAGCAAUCCGCUAAUAGAUGGCCUUGCGUCUGAUUAGAUAGUUGGUGGGGUAACGGCCUACCAAGUCGACGAUCAGUAGCCGGACUGAGAGGUUGGACGGCCACAUUGGGACUGAGAUACGGCCCAGACUCCUACGGGAGGCAGCAGUCGGGAAUAUUGCGCAAUGGAGGAAACUCUGACGCAGUGACGCCGCGUAUAGGAAGAAGGUUUUCGGAUUGUAAACUAUUGUCGUUAGGGAAGAGAAAGGACAGUACCUAAGGAGGAAGCUCCGGCUAACUACGUG
This 473-nucleotide ribosomal RNA is filed under the name uncultured bacterium. RNAcentral describes it as "partial 16S ribosomal RNA". It matches the Rfam family "Bacterial small subunit ribosomal RNA", at positions 28 to 507 of the family's 1533-position model. The record is from RNAcentral.